AGAGAGAGACAUGCGCGCAUAUCAAUAAGCGGAGGAAAAGAAACUAACUAGGAUUCCCUCAGUAACGGCGAGUGAAGCGGGAAGAGCUCAAAUUUGAAAUCUUCAAGGUUCUACCUUGACGAAUUGUAGUUUAGAGAAGUGUUUUCUGUUGGAGUUUUGGUAAAAGUUCUUUGGAAUAGGACAUCAUAGAGGGUGAGAAUCCCGUAUUUGACCAUUAUUUCCAGCUUUGUGAUACACUUUCAAAGAGUCGGAUUGUUUGGGAAUGCAGUCCAAAAUGGGUGGUAAAUUUCAUCUAAAGCUAAAUACUGGCUGAGAGACCGAUAGCGAACAAGUACCGUGAGGGAAAGAUGAAAAGAACUUUGAAAAGAGAGUUAAACAGUACGUGAAAUUGUCAAAAGGGAAGCGUUUGACACCAGUGUUGUUUUUCUCGAAAAUCAAUUAAAAAAGGCAGGAUUUUGUGUUGUAUUGACUUUAUCAGCUUUCUGCAGCUCUUUUCUUGUCUUUUUUAAUGCACUUUUCGUUUAACAAGUCAACAUCAAUUUCUUUUGUUGUAAAAGGGUCAUUGGAAGGUGGCUUUCUUUUCGGAGAAAGUGUUUAUAGCCUUUGGCCUCUGCAAUCGGAGAGAUUGAGGUCUGCAGCGUAGAUCCUUCGGGGUUAGAUACAUUUGUGCUAAGUUAUAGCCUUUCAUAGACAACUUGUUGACUAUGAUCAGUCAUGUAGCUUACUCGCUUAUGCUAUUUUACCUACGCUUAGGAUGUUGAUGUGAUACUGCGAGCA
This 777-nucleotide ribosomal RNA is filed under the name uncultured Neocallimastigales. RNAcentral describes it as "partial large subunit ribosomal RNA". It matches the Rfam family "Eukaryotic large subunit ribosomal RNA", at positions 23 to 646 of the family's 3401-position model. The record is from RNAcentral. Lineage: Eukaryota; Fungi; Neocallimastigomycota; Neocallimastigomycetes; Neocallimastigales.